UUUUCCAGAUUUUGUGGUGGAUCCCAUUGGUGGUAGCUUGAUCCUUUGUGCGUGAUUCAAUUCUUUUGAUGGAUUUAGGGUUUUUGUUUUGGGAUUUUAAAAAAAAAACAAUUGCUUCAAAGAAUGAUGUUGUAAUGAAGGAAAAGAGAAGAUGAUUAAGAAACUUUUCUUCUUGUUGUAAUUUUUUUAUCAAUUGUUUGUAUCAUAUUUUUAGAAAGAAAAAUAAAAUGGUGAAGAG
Molecule: long non-coding RNA, 238 nt
Filed under: Lathyrus oleraceus (garden pea)
Lineage: Eukaryota; Viridiplantae; Streptophyta; Magnoliopsida; Fabales; Fabaceae
Description: Pisum sativum (pea) long non-coding RNA (PSAT_LNC037114)
Source: RNAcentral